CAUAAGAUAGUCUCAGACCAGUGGACACUAAGUUCUGCUUUGGGGCUUCAUCUUGAGCAACACUAUUGUUGUUGUAGUUAUAGUCCAAAGAGCUCUGCAGCUUCUGCUGUCUCUGGAUACUAUGGUUGGUCUCGGUCUCCCUAGCGCGUUUGCUAUUAUUCCGAGACAUUGUAGCAAGGUUAUCGUUAGCAAAGUAGUUUAUAGGAUCAAUAGUGCAACCAGCUCUCACUGUAACCACAUACAAAAGGGAAAAAGUUUUAGCUCUAUAAUAAAGUUUGUAACAACAUUCCAAGCACAAAAGAAAAUCAAGAAACUUACUGGUUCCAAGCAAGUGAAGCUGAUUCAAUGAAGAGUUUGUUUGGUACUGAAACUGGCUAUCCAGCGGUAAAGGGUUCUCAUUGUUACCUCCCAACAUCUUCUCUAAUGCUUAACCGUUACAAGUAUUCAACUUUUGUAAGAAUUACAGUAAGAAACCUGCAGACAUAAGAAGAUAAUGAGUUGAAAACUAUGAAAGUUAUACUUCUUGUGUUCCUGACAUGAUAAGCCAGGACAUACACAAAAAAAGUUUUGACUGUCCUAAGCAAUACACAGAUUACAAUCCAGCUAGAGAUGAAACUCUCCUUCAAACCAAGGCCUGGAGCUAUUUAAAAUAGUAACUGUUGAUUCUUUAUAAACACACAGAUGGUCAACCAAAUAUAAAUACAUGGAGAAUAAAAUUUGCAUCUUUGAAUUUAAGUUUCUACGAUCUCGCCUAUUAAGUAGGGAUACAUGAACCAUAUUUUGAUUAAUUGGCACUGGUCAAAGAUUCAUCUGAAUAAUUAAACUAAAAUUAAUAAUCAAAUCUCACGAACAUGGAAACAACAUGCCAACUUUGAAUAAAGGUUGCCUUUUAGAGAUUGCCCAUCAAAUCAAAAGAUACAUCCAAUUUACAGAAAUAAAAUUUUCAAACCUAAUGAUACAGUACACACAGCUAUCAUCAUCACCAUACACAAAAAGAAAUGAAAAGAAAAAAUCACAGAGACCUAGAUAAGAUAAAAGAUUGCUUCUUUUCCGAUCAUUAAGUUCAGAGAAAGAAAAAACAAAAUACCUGCAAAAAAACAAGGAAUCGAGAGGAGGCAAUUAAUUGCGAUUGAGAGUUUUAAGAAGGUGGUGGUGGGUUUGUUGAAACGUACAGAAACGCAACAUCUGAUGAUUUAAGAUGAAUGAAAGAAUAAAAGAAACGGAUGAAAUGAAUGAUGGACGUGAGAAAGCGGGUCACAAUGGUUAAGGAGUGGGAGAAGUUGGCUGCCAAAAUCGAUAAUAAUAAUUUUAAAAAAAUAAUCGAUAGCAAUUGAGAAAAUAUAAAUAGAAUCCCAAAAAUAAAAAAAUAAAAAGGUUUGAUAAUGAUAAGAACUGGUGCCGGUGGGUAUUGGUUCUGCACAUAUCUCCGUGAGUUGUGCCUCGUGACGCCAUUCACUCCACUUUCCUGCAUCUUUCAAUCUUUUUCCUUUUUAAAAUCUUUUUUUUUCUUUUGAGAACAAAAGAUACAGUAACAUUUUCAUUUAACUUUUUAAUUUAAAUAUUUUAUUUUUUGACCAAGUCCAUUAUUUAAAAUAAGGAAAUUUUCAAAAUGAUAACAGUAACAUCUAUAUUAUUAAAAGAGAAAUACAAAAUAAAAAUACCCCUUAAUUUUACCAUUUAUUUACAUUAGAAUGCCAUUGAGAAAUUUAUUGAACCUAUAUUAGAGUAUUUUUGUCAUUUCCUAUUGUAUUUUCCUAAUUUAAAUAAUAGAUUUACUUAAUCAAAUCUUAACCAAAAUAUUUCCUAAUAUAUUUCAUAUUAACAUAUUAAAUAUUUUUAAUAUUUGUUAGUAAUAAAUAAUAAAAUAAAAAAUCACACGUGAUAAUCAAUUUAUAAAACAUAUAAAUAAAAUAUGAAUAGUUUGUUCAUAUAAUAUUGGAUUUUUAUAUGAUACAUUGUGAUAUACUAGACAAUUAAAAUCACAAAAUAUAAUUAUUCAAAGUAAUAAAUAAAAUUGUUAUGUUUUAAAAUUUUAUAUUAACAAUUAUGUAAUAAAUUUUAAUUUAAAAUAUAUAUAUAUAUAUAUGUUAUACCAUUAGUACAAAGAAAACAUUUUAAGUGAAAACAAAUAUAAAACUAAAAUAUUUAUGUAUUUGAUAUGGUUUAUAAUUUAAUUUAAAAUAUAUAUAUAUAUAUAUUAGUCUUAAUAAUUAUUUAAAUUAGACUUUUUACUUAUAUUAUUUUGUAAUUAUUUGUAUUUUUCAUAACAAAAAUUUUAAACCAUGGAUCACAAAAUUUGAAUGUGAAACUUUUAACAGUUUUAGUAGAUUAUAGUCAUUUUUAAAAAUUCAAAAUAUAAUAUAUACAGAAAAAUCUGAAUUUUAAUUAUAUUGUUAUUUUGGUUGUUUAAUUUAUUUUAAUAGUUUAAUCUUAAACAAAUAUGAUAGAAGAUACACUAAUUUUUAUUAAAUCUUUAUUAUUCAAAAUCAUUAAUUGUCAUAUAUACUUUAGCCGCAUUAGACAAUUCCGUAAUUUUUAUUUAAGGAAAUAAUAAAGAACAUUAAUAAUAAAUUUAUGGUUAGUUUAAUAAAAAAUUUAUUAUAUAAUUAGAUGGACUAACAUAUUUUUCUAAUGAUUCUAAAAAUCAUCCUAGUGAUGACACGGGGCUACAAAUAAAGUUGUAAUGCUUCUCAAAUAAUAUAAAGGGGAUAAUUCAAGAGGGUUUAUUAACGUGCAUGGUACUAAAAAUUUAAUACUUAGUUUAAUUUGUGGAUGGGCUACAUCAAUGCUUGAGCACAAAACUGACAUGCAAACAGAUUCCAAGAAGAACACUUGCUAAUCAUCAUUUAUAUAUACUAUACUAAAAGGAAGAUAUCCUGAGUCCUAAAGCUAUCCACGUAGAAUUAAAAAAUCCACCAAUCAGCACAUUUCAUUUCUCUACAUCAGACAGGUUGGGCUUUCGGUUUGGGCUUCGUUUGUUUUUUGCCAAAUUACACAAUCAGACACCAAAAUGAGUGGGCCUGAGCUUGAGGUUGAUUUGCUGUUUGCCCUAAACUUAACAACGUAUGGUUCUUCUUCUGAGAAGACGAGAUAUGGUUGAGACUAGACGUAGCUAUUCAGCUUCCAAGAGUUUCUAUACUUCUUCUUCAUCCCCUGAACUGUCUUCUCAUCUCCAGUCCCUACCAAGCGAUCUAAGGUCAAGAUCCAUGCUGCUAUUAAAUCCGUAUGUUAGUUUUUAUCCGAGUCUGAGCUUCUUCUUUUUUUCUGGUUUCAAAUAUGAUUUUUGAUUUUUUAUAACUUAGGCAUCGGCAGCGGAACCGACGGGGUCUUCGUCUGCGAGCGAGGUUCGUGUUGAGAAAUAAGGACCGGUUUUGGAUCCUGGAUUCGGAAUCUGAAGAGCCGGAGCUUGGAUCCUCUGAUCCGUAAGCUAUGGAUACGGAGAAGACUGUUUUAACUGAUGUGCCUGUUUUGGAGAUCUCUCUUGAAGCCGACACAAACCCUAAAGUUGAUGUCGUGCCGACACCUACAAUAGCAGGUUUGGAUGUCUGUCUCAUGAUUUUUUCUGGUUAAUUAUGAUUUCUAAUGUUUUUGUGGAUUUAGGGGAAGUGGUGACGGAUGGUGAGAAGUCGAAGGCGGGGAAGAAUCGAGCUAAGGAUCCAUGGGCGAAGCUACUUUCUGAGUACUCUCAGGUGGGUCAAGUUUCAUCAGUGAUUGUUUUUUAUUGGUUUGAUCUAAUAGUCUGUGAAUUGCGCCUUUAGGAUUUAGUUGUCUGCAUGUCUGUUUCUUUUAUAUUUUUUUCCAGCAAAACCCAUAAGUAUGUUGUUAUGUAUGUGUCUCUGUGACUUUUUGUGUCUGCAAGUUGCACAUUGAGUGUUUAGUAAUGUGCAGUUCGUGUAAUAUUUUUUGUGAAGGUUUGGUCUUUCAAUUCAUGCCCAACGAGUUUAGUUCGCUUCAUGUUCGGUUCUUUUACAUUUUUCCGACAGAACUAUGUUGUUAUGUCUGAUACAUUUCUACUUCUUGACUACAAUACUUCUGUUUCUAACUGUCCCAAUGCUUUUUUCUAUGUAAUUUCAGAACCCACACCGUAUCAUGAGGGGCGCUGUAUUCACUGUUAGAUGCCGAGGAUGUGAUUUAUCUAUCACACCAAUAUAUGCUCAGCACCCUGUGUGAAAAUCAAGCAUUCUGAUGUAAGGACAUCUUAUUUGCUCCUUUUUGAUCUUAGUCUCUUUAAGAACAAAAGUUUUUUUCUAACGUAAUUAUCGUGUGGUUUACUUCACGGAUGAAUACAUUCAGAUUAUAACAUGGAGUUUAAACAAUGCAUCAAACUAGCUCCCAUUACCUUCAGAUGUCUUUUUUAGAAAUGCGCUUAUAUUUUAAUUUUUAACUGACCAGCUACUUAAGAAAUCUCAAAUUUACUUAAGCAAAAUAAUUAAUGGAAUUUAAUUUCUUUAAGCCCAUUAAGCAAUGGAUGUAAACGUGAAACUUAGUUUAGAAGGGAAAGCCUUCGAAGCUUCAUCCGCUAUCUUACAGGCGUUUGAGUUCAAAGAAAACCUAAAGCUUCAACAAUUUAUGAAGCUCGCAUGCAUUUUAUGCACGUGCACACUUGCCAUCUUUAGCCAACUACGUGGCAAGGUACUUCAGUUUCUUCUCUACGUCUAUUUGAUAACUUUUCCUUUUUAAUUUGAGUCCCUAUGUGUUUUUGUUGAUGCUUCAGGUUUCUUUGAUUCUGUCGAAGUCUAAGAAGCAUGAAGUUGGCAUGACUGGGAUAACCUUGGAGAUUAUUGAUGAUAUACACUGCCAUGUACUUUGUUAAUUGUUUUGUUCUUUUGGGAACUGUGUCUUUGUGUGUGUGUGUGUUUUCUUCUUAAAAAGGUUGGUGUUGUGUAUUUUUCAUUACCAAAAUGAUAUAAUUAUAUUAGUUCACUUAGUAAAAUACAAAUAGAGAGAAUUUACUUAUAGUUUAGGAUUUCCUCGACUUGAAUUCUCAAUUACAUUAUAUCUACUAUAUAAAAGGAACAGACUCCUAAGCUAUGACACAUCAACUAAAAUCUUUACAUCCAAUGAAAGUGCCACAUCACCAAAAUUUACAUGUCAUCGUCUAAUCCCACGAAAUCUGUAUCAUUUCCCUUCUCUAACGUUCCAGGUAUAACUCCUCCUAAAGGCAACCCAACAAUCCUAAAGGCAACCGUUCAGCAGCUCCGGCGUAAAACCACUUCGACUCUUGAAAGCCUUAUUUAAUAAUAAAACAUUUCAUUGACUUGGGAAUUAGUAGAGAGGCAACUGUUGAGGAUGUGGGGAUGAGUACUAGGAGGAAGAGGAGGCACCGUUCAGUGAUAUUGGAAAAUAUCGAAGCAGAGAUAGUACUACUAAGAGAGAAGCUGAACAUGAAUGAAGAUGAGAGCUUGUGGAGACGCAAAUCGGGUUUUAAACAUAAGUUUUCAACUCAAGAAACUUGGAUGCUAAUAAGAGAAGCUGGUAUACAAUGUUCUUGGGCACCGGGAGUUUGGUUUUCUCAUGCCACACCCAAGUUUGCGUUUAUGACAUGGUUGGCAAUACAUGAUAGACUGUCUACAAUGGACAGAAUAUCUCGGUGGAGUCGGGGUGUGGAUCCAACUUGUGUUUUAUGCAAGAAUGCAGUGGAGUCAAGGGUCAUCUCUUUUUCGAAUGUGCUUUCUCAGUUGGAGUGAUAUUGUGGGACUGAUUACAGUAAGAAACUUGGAGAAGAAGGCUCUGUACUGUAUCAGGUACACAUUUCAGGCUACUCUCCAUGCGAUUUGGCGAGAGAGGAAUAAGAUCACUCAUGGAGAUAAGCCUCUUCCUCUAGUGAGCUUGAAGAAGUUAAUAGAUAAGGGAGUAAGAAACAAGUUGAGUUUGAUAAGGGGUAAAGGUGUGAAGAACAUGGAGAGGAUUCUUCAAUUUUGGUUUGAGACAAGAAUGUGAAUAUUUUAUAGUUUAAGUGAUGUUUUGAUGUAAAAAGGUCACACUUGAUGUACAAAGGCUUUUUGAUGAAUAAGAAUUUAACAUUCAUUCAAAAAAAAAAAUGAGAUCAAUUCAUACAUUCAUUGCUAAACUUAUAACUUAUAUGUAUAGUUACGCAUCUUUAUUUACUCGUCUGCAUCCAAAUUGGCUCAUUUUAUUCCAUAUCAACCUAAAACCUGAAAAUAUUUAAAGCCAUCUCCAGUGGUCAUGAAACACCUAUUUUGAUUUGAUAAAAAUCAGAAGUUAGAAAUCGAUAAAAAACACUGUUUAUCAUCAAGCUUAAGUGGUAAAAGCACCUCUGAGAAAAAAAAAGAGAAAUGAUGUACAUUAAAUAUUAAUUAAUUUUCUGCAAAAUAAAUAAAUUAAAUCAUUUAAAUUAAACAUUUUUUAAGUUGCAACUUCUGUUUAAUUAUUAAAACUAUGCUGUUAAAUGGUUAAACUUUUACCAUUUUCUUAGCAGGUCAGGAUUUGCUUCAGCUGGAAAAAGCUGAGUGCUCAAAAUCAUUUUAGCAGGUCUACAAAACCUUUUGACUUUGGAAAGAAGUUUCUCAACAAAGUUGAAGAAACCAGCUAAAAACAUUGAUUAGUUUCUUUCAGCAUUGAAUCAUGAAUCUAAAUCCACAUCUUUGGUACGUCGCACUCCAACUCAAUUUGUAUCACUUUCCAGACUCCCUGAAAAAUUGUUUAAUACAUGCUUUCAGUGGCAAAAGGCAAAAGACUGGAGCAAAGUUUUCAGCUUUCUCCAAAAUUAACUUAUCAUCAUCAACAUCACAUACAAAUAUGAUAAUCUUUUUUCCAUAAUCAACAUUUCAAGAGUAUGAAGACUGACUCUAUUUCAUGGAUUUUACUCAUGAGAAAAAGACUUGAACGCUAGAAGUUUUGAAAGACUGACAAACAGGACAAAAGCCAGUGAACACAUCACAGUCUUUACACAAACUCAAGUGCCUACACGGUACAAGCAAGACAGAAACCUCCUUUACGUUACACGACUUGCAUCUCAUCCCAGUGUUUGGCAUCCCCCGGAUGUUCAUGUAGUUGUACGAAGCUGCCUCAUCAUCAAUCUCGCUAUCCCCGUACCCUUCUUCCACUGCUAAUACACCACCUGGAUUGGUGUUGUUUCCAUGUGACAUCACGUGUUGCAGAUUCAACUUUAAGGCAUUAACCACAGAUUCAUUGUACUUCGCCCUGUAAUGCCAGUUCUGAGAUUCUACGGCCACUUGUUUUAUCUUCUCCACGAGUUCCCGGUUCUUCUUGUUCAUGUUUUCAAUCUCCUGGUCUUUCUCUUGAAGCUUCUUUCUCACAUCCUUCUCUAAGGCCGUGACAAAGGACGUGACAUGUCUCUGUUUUAUAUCUCUCACACCUUUCGCCAGUUGGUUCCCCUGUUUCCAAAGAAAGUACAAUCAACAACAUUGGAUAUAUAUAUAUAAGAAAUAACGGAUAGAAUUAGUACCUGGAAUUUGAGAAACUGAUCAAGCUCUUCUUUCUGUCUAUCCAAGUCCAAUCUGAUAGUGUCACCGAGUGACUGAAACAUUGGAGUUGUGAUGCUUCCAUUUGCACAAGAGUUUCUCUCAUCAUUGUCAUAAGAUAGUCUCAGACCAGUGGACACUAAGUUCUGCUUUGGGGCUUCAUCUUGAGCAACACUAUUGUUGUUGUAGUUAUAGUCCAAAGAGCUCUGUAGCUUCUGCUGUCUCUGGAUACUAUGGUUGGUCUCGGUCUCCCUAGCGCGUUUGCUAUUAUUCCGAGACAUUGUAGCAAGGUUAUCGUUAGCAAAGUAGUUUAUAG
This 7761-nucleotide long non-coding RNA is filed under the name Brassica napus (rape). RNAcentral's name for it is "long non-coding RNA (BNAP_LNC000616)". The record is from RNAcentral. Lineage: Eukaryota; Viridiplantae; Streptophyta; Magnoliopsida; Brassicales; Brassicaceae.